Molecule: ribosomal RNA, 496 nt
Filed under: uncultured Comamonas sp.
Lineage: Bacteria; Pseudomonadati; Pseudomonadota; Betaproteobacteria; Burkholderiales; Comamonadaceae
Description: partial 16S ribosomal RNA
Source: RNAcentral
CACGUAGUUAGCCGGUGCUUAUUCUUACGGUACCGUCAUGGCUCCAGGGUAUUAACCCGAAGCUUUUCGUUCCGUACAAAAGCAGUUUACAACCCGAAGGCCUUCAUCCUGCACGCGGCAUUGCUGGAUCAGGCUUUCGCCCAUUGUCCAAAAUUCCCCACUGCUGCCUCCCGUAGGAGUCUGAACCGUGUCUCAGUUCCAGUGUGGCUGAUCGUCCUCUCAGACCAGCUACAGAUCGUCGGCUUGGUAAGCUUUUAUCCCACCAACUACCUAAUCUGCCAUCAGCCGCUCUAGUAGCACAAGGUCUUGCGAUCCCCUGCUUUCAUCCGUAGAUCUCAUGCGGUAUUAGCUACUCUUUCGAGUAGUUAUCCCCCAUACUAGGCACGUUCCGAUGUAUUACUCACCCGUUCGCCACUCGUCAGCAUCCGAAGUACCCUGUUACCGUUCGACUUGCAUGUAGUAAGGCAUGCCGCCAGCGUUCAAUCUGAGCCAGGUA